Molecule: small RNA, 2037 nt
Filed under: Vigna angularis var. angularis
Lineage: Eukaryota; Viridiplantae; Streptophyta; Magnoliopsida; Fabales; Fabaceae
Description: Non-protein coding transcript
Source: RNAcentral
AAAAGAUUUUAUUAAAAAAAAUUAUAUAGUAUUUGUAUUAAGAAACCCUCUUGCCCCAAGUCUUAAUUUCCUCUGCUCUCUCAACGAAGAACCCUCUUUAUAGAAGACGCUCCUUGGACUUCUCGAAGCUUCCUCUACGACUUAACAGUGAGACCACGAUCGGAUUCAAUGAAGGGCCUUAGCAAGAGAACUCGAAAGAGGAGGAACGCGCCUGGAAAACCCUAGGUUCGCGAUGAUACUCUAGGAGCGGAAAGGAUUCAAAGCGGAGUGAAAAAUAGGAAGAUUGUUCGGUGAGAAAUGCGAUUUAGGUCGCGUGUUCGGUGGAAAAGGACAAUUCAACGACUGAAUCGGUGAAACAGUGCCAAAAUGAGGAUGUAAUCGAUGGAAAAGGCUGUAACGAGGACAAAUGAAGUUGCAAAAUAUGAUUCGGUGAUGUCAAUCACGACGAUGAAGGCUCUGUGAGAGUGAUGAGGUGAGGACAUUCGCGAGCUCGAGAAGAAGCUAGGUUGAGGUUGUUGGACUCGUGAAAGCUUAAACCGUAGCCGCUGUGUGACCGGGCUAUUGUUCCAUAACCACCAUUGCAUCUUCUCACCUCCUACGAGGGUUUCCAAGGUUAGUGCAUUCAUAUUAGGUUUAGUUAAUUACUUUGUUAAAUAUGGUUUGGAUUGGGCAUGUUUUUGGAAAAGGGUUGUUUGAGACAUAUAAGUAUAAAGAAUAAAGCCACACAUAAUGGGGUUAUCAAACUGAUGUUCCUUUGAUACCAUACUUUAAGUAUAAUCUUAUCUCAGUUUCGAAGCUUGUUUCUCCAAACAUGUUUCUCAUUCAUAAGUAAUUUUUUUUUUACUAAUGAUGGUUAUUUUGUCCAGGAUUCGAGAGUGGAGGCAACGGGAGGGGAUAAGUUGAGAGUGAGAUGUUCAAAAUUAAAGCUAGAAGUGUUUUCAUUUCAGUUUUACAUAAUUUAUUCACUUUUUUUUUCUACUGUCAUUGUUAUCAUUGUGUUUUGACUAACAAUAUUUUUUUUCUUUGGUUAAUAAUAUGACUUAUUGUUUACAAUAAGUUAAGUCUUAUAUUUUUAUCAUAAUAUCUAUAGGUUGUUUACCUUUUUCAGCCUUACUUGAUAUCUGUGCCUUAUUUUCUUUAGUCCAUUUCAAGUAUAAGUGUAUCUAACUGCCUAUCUACUACUAUCCAUUUGGUGUUUCAGGGGAAUACUUGAACUUCUACAAACAGAUCAAAGUUUCAUGUUAGCACUACAACCUGUACCAAUCAUAUGUUGCAUUCUUGAUAAAAGGAAAAGAAAAAAAUACAAAAGUGGGGGCACUAAUUAUGAAACCUUGAUUGAGAACUUGACAGUGGACGAUUUGGAACUUUUGUGGAAAAGAGUACUCAAGUAAUGAUUCUGUCACUUGAGACAACUUCUCUUUGUUUGUUAGACUAAGGCUUUGAUAUGAACCGAGGAUGGUGCAAAUGAUUAUGUGUUGAUUAUGAAAUAAAUCUUUCACUAGCUGGUGAUGGAUUUGACACUGUGAUCAAAGCCAAGGCUGCAGUCAACAGUGUACCUGGCUUCCAGAAUAAGGUUUCCUGUUCUGACAUUUUGGCAAUGGCAACUAGGGAUGCCAUAACUCUGGAGGACCAUCUUAUGCAGUAGAGCUGGGAAGGCCAGAUAGGAAAGUUUCAACAAAAUUAUGUGUUAGACACCAUAUACCUCAUCCUGAUUUCUAAGACCAUAUUCUCUUGACAUGGCAUCUAGUGGUUCUGACCCACCUCCUCCACUCUCAGCACAAUCUAAAAGGAGAAGGGAAAAAGCAAUAUAUGGUGAAGUUGUUAUCAUGGUGAUGGAGUGCAACAAGAUCAACGCCCAGAUGAAGAAAAUCCUUAGUGAUUGAUUAUUAGGAAACUCUAGACCUGUCAUUCUAUGUUGUUUGACAUCUUAUGAAUUGUAAAAUUUAUAGAUUGCAUAUUAGGAAACUCUACACUUGUCAUUCUAUGUUGUUUGACAUCUUAUGAAUUGUAAAAUUUAUAUUGUUUUGCAUCUUAGGA